CGGAACGCUGGCGGCGUGGAUUAGGCAUGCAAGUCGAACGGUAUCAUCCUUCGGGGGUGAGAGAGUGGCGAACUGGUGAGUAACACGUAGGUUAUCUACCCUCAAGACGGGGACAACCCAGGGAAACUUGGGCUAAUACCGGAUGUGAGCAACUUUAGUUGUUUGAAAGGUGGCGUAAGCUGUCGCUUGGGGAUGAGCCUGCGUCCUAUUAGUUAGUUGGUGAGGUAACGGCUCACCUAGGCAAUGAUAGGUAGGCGGCCUUAACGGGUGGUCGCCCACACUGGGAUUGAGAUACGGCCCAGACUCCUACGGGAGGCAGCAGUCGAGAAUAGUCUACAAUGGUCGGAAGACUGAUAGUGCGACGCCGCGUGAACGAUGAAUCCCUUCGGGGUGUAAAGUUCUUUUAUAUGUGAGCAGUGCUUCUUAUAUUAACAGUAUGGGGAGAGAGAUAUUAGCAUAUGAAUAAGCAACGGCUAACUCCGUG
Molecule: ribosomal RNA, 484 nt
Filed under: uncultured bacterium
Lineage: Bacteria
Description: bacterial SSU rRNA
Rfam family: Bacterial small subunit ribosomal RNA
Source: RNAcentral